Molecule: non-coding RNA, 416 nt
Organism: Oryza sativa Japonica Group (Japanese rice)
Lineage: Eukaryota; Viridiplantae; Streptophyta; Magnoliopsida; Poales; Poaceae
Source: RefSeq, a predicted model, not a curated record
CACAGCUUCAUACAAAGCAAUCACACAAAUGGGCAAGCAGAUGCCGAACUGUAGCCGAGGACUUCUGCUUCUGUUGUUGGCCCUUCUAGGCUGUUUUAGCAUUCCUGGCCAUCUGUAUGGUAAAAAUCUAGAUUACACCAGGAGUGCAUCCAUGAAUGAAGGACGCAACAAUGUCAAUAUAAAUGGUUUGGUACCCGUACCAUGCAACAUUUUCUCCCCAUCGAAGGUCUGCUGUAGAAAUGUACGCUACCCUAGCUUGCAAGCCUGUGAGGCAAAUUGCAAGCCAAUUGUUUGAUCGGCUUAUCAAGCCUGUAAUAGUAAAGAAAUGAUAAUAAUAUUAUCCGUUGUUCACCAAGCAAGAGAAUAAUCAAUCUCCUCAGAGAUGAAUAUGGAUUGUCUGUUUGUCUAGGGGAAAA